Molecule: ribosomal RNA, 333 nt
Filed under: Pyramidula jaenensis
Lineage: Eukaryota; Metazoa; Mollusca; Gastropoda; Stylommatophora; Pyramidulidae
Description: partial 16S ribosomal RNA
Source: RNAcentral
UUGACUGUGCUAAGGUAGCAUAAUAAAUUGGCUUUUAAUUGAAGUCGGGAAUGAAAGGGUGUUUGGGGUUAUUCUGUCUUGUUUUUAUUUUUUAAAAAUUACUAAUGGGGUGAAAAUUCCCCAAUUUUAUUUGAUAGACGAGAAGACCCUAAGAGUUAUUACAAUUAAUUAAAAAAUUAAUAAAAGUUUUUGUUGGGGCAACAACUUUGGAAAUAAGAACCAAAGUUAAAUUUAUUUUAAACAUAAAAAUUAUAUUAAAAAUGAAUUUAACUACCUUAGGGAUAACAGCAUAAUUAUAUUUUAGAUUGUGACCUCGAUGUUGGAUUAAGGCCU